UUCUAUUUUUGCAGACAAGCCUGGGGCCCGGCCAGAGGUCAGCUGGAGCACCCUCCUUUAUCAUAUAAGAGGAAUUUGAUUGCUACACUGGCUACUGGUGGCAGCCAAAGACGAAAGAAGGUCCGAGCAGUUGCUACGGGAACGGAUGCGGUCCACGGGUAGUGGCCUCACACAGUAUGACUACUUGUCAUCAUGUGAUCUCCUCCUAGUGCAUGGACCUCAGUGUCUGGUCCUGAACAGGCAAUCAGAAGUGGGUGUGGCUGAGUUCC
Halichondria panicea is the source of this 269-nucleotide long non-coding RNA. RefSeq lists it as uncharacterized. NCBI's taxonomy places the organism in Eukaryota, Metazoa, Porifera, Demospongiae, Suberitida, Halichondriidae. The record is from RefSeq and is a predicted model, not a curated record. The transcript has 3 exons.